UACAGAGGUCCCAAGCGUUGUUCGGAUUCAUUGGGCGUAAAGGGUGCGUAGGCGGCGCGGUAAGUCGGGUGUGAAAUCUCGGAGCUUAACUCCGAAACUGCAUUCGAUACUGCCGUGCUUGAGGACCGGAGAGGAGACUGGAAUUUACGGUGUAGCGGUGAAAUGCGUAGAUAUCGUAAGGAAGACCAGUGGCGAAGGCGGGUCUCUGGACAGUUCCUGACGCUGAGGCACGAAGGCCAGGGGAGCAAACGGG
RNAcentral lists this ribosomal RNA (253 nucleotides) under uncultured bacterium. RNAcentral describes it as "partial 16S ribosomal RNA". It matches the Rfam family "Bacterial small subunit ribosomal RNA", at positions 524 to 776 of the family's 1533-position model. The record is from RNAcentral.